Molecule: ribosomal RNA, 512 nt
Filed under: uncultured bacterium
Lineage: Bacteria
Description: partial 16S ribosomal RNA
Source: RNAcentral
GGAGUUAGCCGGUGCUUCUUCUGCGAGUAACGUCACAGAUGUAAGGUAUUAACUUACACCCUUUCCUCCUCGCUGAAAGUGCUUUACAACCCGAAGGCCUUCUUCACACACGCGGCAUGGCUGCAUCAGGGUUUUCCCCCAUUGUGCAAUAUUCCCCACUGCUGCCUCCCGUAGGAGUCUGGGCCGUGUCUCAGUCCCAGUGUGGCUGAUCAUCCUCUCAGACCAGCUAGGGAUCGUCGCCUAGGUGAGCCUUUACCUCACCUACUAGCUAAUCCCACCUGGGCUUAUCCAUCAGCGCAAGGCCCGAAGGUCCCCUGCUUUCCCCCGUAGGGCGUAUGCGGUAUUAGCAGUCGUUUCCAACUGUUAUCCCCCACAAAUGGGCAAAUUCCCAGGCAUUACUCACCCGUCCGCCGCUCGUCAUCUUCAAAAGCAAGCUUUUGAAAUGUUACCGCUCGACUUGCAUGUGUUAGGCCUGCCGCCAGCGUUCAAUCUGAGCCAGGAUCAAACUCUGA